GUUAGGAGAGAUGAAAAGAAAGUAUCAAGGAGUGAGCUGAAGCCACUGCCCUUGAGAACCCUCUCGAGGAGUCUGGGCUCAUGAAGAUGCCAGAAUAAGUGGCAGGUAUAUCCUGAAUGAAUGUGAGAUUUUUACCCUGUGAAUUUCCUGUGAGGAGUGUAAGAAGAAAAAGAGCAAAAAUAAGAAGAGAAAAAGAGAAGAUGAAGAAACCCAGCUUGAUAUGUUGGAAUCUGGUGGACAGUAACAAACUUUGGUGAAAUUUCAGGAACUAUAGCCAUUGAAAUGGAUGAGGGAACCUAUAUACAUUCACUCGACAAUGGUCUUUUUACCCUGUGAGCUCCACACAGUGAAGUUGAUGAGGGUCCUAGUCCAACAGAACAGUUUAUGGCUGUCAAAUUAUCUGAUUACAG
This is a long non-coding RNA of Gorilla gorilla gorilla (western lowland gorilla), 410 nucleotides long. RefSeq lists it as uncharacterized. The record is from RefSeq and is a predicted model, not a curated record. NCBI's taxonomy places the organism in Eukaryota, Metazoa, Chordata, Mammalia, Primates, Hominidae. The transcript has 4 exons.